RNAcentral lists this ribosomal RNA (397 nucleotides) under uncultured bacterium. RNAcentral's name for it is "partial 16S ribosomal RNA". It matches the Rfam family "Bacterial small subunit ribosomal RNA", at positions 523 to 918 of the family's 1533-position model. The record is from RNAcentral.
AUACGUAGGUGACAAGCGUUAUCCGGAUUUACUGGGCGUAAAGGGCGUGUAGGCGGUCUUGCAAGUCAGAAGUGAAAUUCCUGAGCUCAACUCGGGCGCUGCUUCUGAAACUGCAGGACUUGAGUGCUGGAGGGGAUAGCGGAAUUCCUAGUGGAGCGGUAAAAUGCGCAGAUAUUAGGAAGAACACCGGUGGCGAAGGCGGCUAUCUGGACAGUAACUAGCGCUGAGGCGCGAAAGCGUGGGGAGCAAACAGGAUGAGAUACCCUGGUAGGCCACGCCGUAAACGAUGAAUACUAGGUGUAGGGGGUAUCGACUCCCUCUGUGCCGCAGUUAACACAAUAAGUAUUCCGCCUGGGGAGUACGGCCGCAAGGUUGAAACUCAAAUGAAUUGACGGGG